Long non-coding RNA from Theobroma umbraticum, 864 nucleotides. RefSeq lists it as uncharacterized. The record is from RefSeq and is a predicted model, not a curated record. Lineage: Eukaryota; Viridiplantae; Streptophyta; Magnoliopsida; Malvales; Malvaceae.
CCUGGUGCAGAAUAGCAGGCAAGAAAUGCAUAGAUAUAGACCUUGAGAAUAAACAUACUAGCUUGUGGCGUGAUGAAAUGACCUGUGGACUUAGAGAUUAGUUGUCAAAAGUUUGUCUAUCUCACAACUUGGAGCAGAUCUUUGUGCUAAAUAAGUUACUUGAAGUGAAUGUAUGGUUGAACUUGUGCCUUCUUCAUGCUUCUGGCGUUAACUAAAGUAUAUGAACUUGAGCUAUGUAGGGUUCUUAGAAAGGAUUCUAGAACUCAGAACCAAGUUAAGAUUUUAUCUCACUAUAGGAGCAUCAAUUGGUCGUGAUCUGGUGCAUGUAUGGAGGUGUUUAGUGUUAUAUUUGUUUUCAAAGGUGCAGAAAUAUGGACAGCCUAUAAUCUGAUGUGUUUUUAAUCUAUAGGAGGGUUAAUCUUAUAGUUAAACAAUAAAGUAUUACUAUUAAAAUUACAUCUCUCUCAUUUGUUCACAUUUCUUGUUAGCAGAUGCAUAGCGAGUGUCUGGGCAAUGACAAGAGACUACUAAUUCAGCAAGGGAUGAAAGGCAAUCCAAAAUAUGAAGACUUAUUGGUGGCAAAGAAGCUUGAGAAUCUUGUGUGGUGAUGGAUUCGAAUGCUUUGUAUAGAUGGGUAGUGAUAGGACUCUUAGUUUUUCUCUUACCUGUGUACCCUCCUGUUAAUUGCUCGUCUUUGAUAAUUAAUGUUGAUGCAACAAUGCCUGUGGAUAUGGUGUGCAGUGUUGAAUUUCUUUGUUACUUGUUAUAAGCCUUUUCACAGCAUGUUCCUGAUAUCGUAGGAAUACCAAAUUUUUAGUACUUUAAAACUGCACAUAUUUGUUACUGGAUUUGUAUCUAAGCUUU